RNAcentral lists this long non-coding RNA (272 nucleotides) under Olea europaea subsp. europaea. Lineage: Eukaryota; Viridiplantae; Streptophyta; Magnoliopsida; Lamiales; Oleaceae. The record is from RNAcentral.
AGACUGAAUCGGGCUAUCAAUCUUACCCAUACAGCGUGAUGUGGGUACUGAGCACAUAUUCUGUAAAUUCUACGUAUUUUCAUUUUCCUUCAUUAUCGACGUUCAUUCUGUAUAUUUUAUUAUCUAAGCAUGGCUUGAUCUCAAGUAUAUGGUUUGUGCAUAAUACUAAUGAAAUCUCUACUCAUAAGGUUCCUUUCAAUAUUGUUCGAAGAUGUUGCACAUGGUUUUUGAGUAGCCUGCAUUAAUAUGUUAUGACAGCACUUGCUUUGCUG